GAGUUUGAUCAUGGCUCAGAAUCAACGCUGGCGGCGCGCUUAACACAUGCAAGUCGGACGAGAAAGUGGAGCAAUCCAUGAGUACAGUGGCGUACGGGUGAGUAACACGUGGGUAAUCUGCCUUUUAGUGGGGAAUAACCCUGGGAAACCGGGGCUAAUACCGCAUAAUCUCGAGAGAGGAAAGUCGCAAGACGCUGAAAGAGGAGCCCGCGGCCGAUUAGCUAGUUGGUGGGGUAAAGGCCCACCAAGGCAGAGAUCGGUAGCCGGCCUGAGAGGGCACACGGCCACACUGGCACUGAAACACGGGCCAGACUCCUACGGGAGGCAGCAGUGGGGAAUCUUGCACAAUGGGGGAAACCCUGAUGCAGCGACGCCGCGUGAGCGAUGAAGCCCUUCGGGGUGUAAAGCUCUUUCGGCAGGGAAGAUGAUGACGGUACCUGCAGAAGCAGCUGCGGCUAACUACGUGCCAGCAGCCGCGGUAAUACGUAGGCAGCGAGCGUUGUUCGGAGUUACUGGGCGUAAAGGGUGUGUAGGCGGUUCUUUAAGUUUGGUGUGAAAUCUCCCGGCUUAACCGGGAGGGUGCGCCGAAUACUGAGGGACUCGAGUGCGGGAGAGGAAAGUGGAAUUCCUGGUGUAGCGGUGAAAUGCGUAGAUAUCAGGAGGAACACCGGUGGUGUAGACGGCUUUCUGGACCGUAACUGACGCUGAGACACGAAAGCGUGGGUAGCAAACAGGAUUAGAUACCCUGGUAGUCCACGCCCUAAACGAUGCAUAUUUGGUGUGGGUCAUUCAGUUGAUCCGUGCCGGAGCUAACGCGUUAAAUAUGCCGCCUGGGGAGUACAGUCGCAAGGCUGAAACUCAAAGGAAUUGACGGGGGCCCGCACAAGCGGUGGAGCAUGUGGUUCAAUUCGACGCAACGCGAAGAACCUUACCUGGGCUCGAACGGGUAGUCAACGGCGGUGGAAACAUCGCUACCCCGCAAGGGGGUCUAUUCGAGGUGCUGCA
This 1005-nucleotide ribosomal RNA is filed under the name uncultured bacterium. RNAcentral's name for it is "bacterial SSU rRNA". It matches the Rfam family "Bacterial small subunit ribosomal RNA", at positions 9 to 1045 of the family's 1533-position model. The record is from RNAcentral.